This is a long non-coding RNA of Tupaia belangeri chinensis (Chinese tree shrew), 648 nucleotides long. RefSeq lists it as uncharacterized. The transcript has 2 exons. The record is from RefSeq and is a predicted model, not a curated record. Lineage: Eukaryota; Metazoa; Chordata; Mammalia; Scandentia; Tupaiidae.
UGUGGCAUUCUACAGACUAAACAGAAGGUCUUUCAGAAAAGACUUUUGAGUAAAAUUGUUUUAGAAAAUAUAUGACUAUUAAGAUCUUCCUCUUCAUCCUUGACCAGCUGAAUGUCAGCAGCAGUCUCUUCAAAAAGAGACCUUCUCGUUUUGAAGUUCAGGAUCUAGACUGCGGACAGGCCAGGACGAGCCUCUGCCCUCAGCUGCGUGACUGUGACAUAGAACAGGUUUAGACAGCGCGCUCUGGUUUCAGCAGUGUGGUGAGGACAAGAACACCCAGGCAUCUUAGUCUGCUGGUCUGUAAGAGACCAAACCAGACUUGGUCCUGGUAGUCAAGGCUCCGUGGUGGUGGGCCCCGUCCUGGACGCCAUGCAGAUGGCAGACAGACGGGCUCUCUCCUCCGGGUACUGCCCUGCAGGGCAGAUACAGUGCUCCACCUGCCAGCGCCAGGGUGACCCCUCGCUCCCUGCAUGGACGCCGCGGCACUGAGUCUGCACCGAGUCAGGCGGAUGAGGCCAGCGGGGCCGAGCCUGAGCAAACGUCCUAUUGUCCAAAGCCCCUCCUCUGGCUAUUUAGGAAGCUCAGGGAAAAAGCAAAUCCUACCCAAACAGAUUACCUCUUGCCGAGAGUGGUUACAAAGAAGCCGGA